AUUGAACGCUGGCGGCAGGCUUAACACAUGCAAGUCGAGCGGAGUGAUGGUGCUUGCACUAUCACUUAGCGGCGGACGGGUGAGUAAUGCUUAGGUAUCUGCCUAUUAGUGGGGGACAACAUCUCGAAAGGGAUGCUAAUACCGCAUACGUCCUACGGGAGAAAGCAGGGGAUCACUUGUGACCUUGCGCUAAUAGAUGAGCGUAAGUCGGAUUAGCUAGUUGGUGGGGUAAAGGCCUACCAAGGCGACGAUCUGUAGCGGGUCUGAGAGGAUGAUCCGCCACACUGGGACUGAGACACGGCCCAGACUCCUACGGGAGGCAGCAGUGGGGAAUAUUGGACAAUGGGGGGAACCCUGAUCCAGCCAUGCCGCGUGUGUGAAGAAGGCCUUAUGGUUGUAAAGCACUUUAAGCGAGGAGGAGGCUCUUUUGGUUAAUACCCAAGAUGAGUGGACGUUACUCGCAGAAUAAGCACCGGCUAACUCUGUGCCAGCCGCCGCGGUAA
RNAcentral lists this ribosomal RNA (503 nucleotides) under uncultured bacterium. RNAcentral describes it as "partial 16S ribosomal RNA". It matches the Rfam family "Bacterial small subunit ribosomal RNA", at positions 30 to 523 of the family's 1533-position model. The record is from RNAcentral.